CAAAUGACUCUCGGCAACGGAUAUCUCGGCUCACGCAUCGAUGAAGAACGUAGCAAAAUGCGAUACUUGGUGUGAAUUGCAGAAUCCCGUGAACCAUCGAGUUUUUGAACGCAAGUUGCGCCCGAAGCCAUCCGGCCGAGGGCACGUCUGCCUGGGCGUCACAC
This 164-nucleotide ribosomal RNA is filed under the name Macroclinidium rigidulum. RNAcentral's name for it is "5.8S ribosomal RNA". It matches the Rfam family "5.8S ribosomal RNA". Rfam says of the family: 5.8S ribosomal RNA (5.8S rRNA) is a component of the large subunit of the eukaryotic ribosome. It is transcribed by RNA polymerase I as part of the 45S precursor that also contains 18S and 28S rRNA. The record is from RNAcentral. Lineage: Eukaryota; Viridiplantae; Streptophyta; Magnoliopsida; Asterales; Asteraceae.